CUGAUCUAUUAUGUAAAUAUUUAUUUUAUUUUUCAGUUAAGGAGUGAACUGAGACUGUUGUAGUAAGAGUUGAGAAGCUUUCUUGAGUUGUAUGUUGAGUAGAUAACCAGUUUUUGUCCAAGAUGUAUUUUAUGGAAACACAUAUGUGAAAAGAACUUAUGCAAGCCCAAAUGAUUAUUUUUUUAAAAAAUUUAUUGUUUUAAAGCAUUUAAGUGCUUUCAGCUUGAUAGAAAAUAGAGGUUUUUACAGCUAUGUAAUUUUAUUUUUAUUUAUUUAUUUUUUUAAAUUUUAAAAUCUUUAAUUCUUACAUGCGUUCCCAAACAUGAACCCCCCUCUAGAUGUUUAAAAACAGUUUACAGUUUGUUGUUAUUUAACUUUAAUCUCUUUUUUUUAUCCUUUUCUCAAUUUUUUUAACAUAACAUCAAAUUGUAAUGGUAAAUCAAUCUUAUUUGAAAUUUCUAAGUAGGAGAGAAAAGUACAAAUGUGAGCCAGACUUCUUUAAAAAAAAAAAAAAAACCCUAAACUACCUUAUAUCUUGCACUUAAAUGAGAUUUGACUAUAAAUUACAAUGGUGGCUCUGAUUUUUUUAAUGAAAUUUCUCAAAUAUGUGGGACUUUCUAAAUGGAGGUGUUUUAAUCUAUACAGACAGGCUGCAACUGCAGUUUUCUAAAUUAACUUCAGUUUUACAUUAAAUAACAUUUACCUCAGUCAUGUCCUUCUAGAGUUAAUUUAAAUUUUGGUGCCAUGUGGCCUUCAGUUCAGUUCAGU
RNAcentral lists this long non-coding RNA (768 nucleotides) under Capra hircus (goat). RNAcentral describes it as "lncRNA (ENSCHIG00010026961.1)". Lineage: Eukaryota; Metazoa; Chordata; Mammalia; Artiodactyla; Bovidae. The record is from RNAcentral.